This is a long non-coding RNA of Mytilus californianus (California mussel), 525 nucleotides long. RefSeq lists it as uncharacterized. The transcript has 2 exons. The record is from RefSeq and is a predicted model, not a curated record. Lineage: Eukaryota; Metazoa; Mollusca; Bivalvia; Mytilida; Mytilidae.
GACUGUUUACAGAAGACUAUUGAAUUGCACAGGAUUGAUGAUUAAAAGAUUCAACUACAGUUCAAUGAGGAUCAACAUAUUGUGAUGCCAAUAUUGCGCACUUGAGUAGGAAGAUCAAAAUGUUUGUAGUAAAUGGACAUAAGUAAAUAGCGUGCCUUCAAAUUGACCAACAUUUCUGAAGUGAAGGAUGACAACUUAGCCUCUAUUUGUUGGGAAAUUUUAUAGCCAUGUUUGAACCUAAAGAACAGAUAUACAAAACCUGAAUGACAGAUACAUGUAAAAUAAUAAGACAUGAUAAAUAUAAGAAGACUCUGAACAAUCUGAAAACUGUAAAUUCAGGAAUUACAUGUAUGUUACAGAAGUUUUUAAAAGCAUUUGAAUGUUGAGAUUGGUUGAGUAUCUCAAUGAUAAGAACUUGCAUUCUGAAAUCAGAAUUUGGAAGAGCUUUUCCUUUAUUAGCAUAAAUAAAUCUCUAAUUUGGUCAGUUACUUUUAAAAAUAUUAUAAUAAAUGAAUGCAAUAAUUA